This 73-nucleotide transfer RNA is filed under the name Bos taurus (domestic cattle). It matches the Rfam family "tRNA". From Rfam's summary of the family: Transfer RNA (tRNA) molecules are approximately 80 nucleotides in length. Their secondary structure includes four short double-helical elements and three loops (D, anti-codon, and T loops). Further hydrogen bonds mediate the characteristic L-shaped molecular structure. tRNAs have two regions of fundamental functional importance: the anti-codon, which is responsible for specific mRNA codon recognition, and the 3' end, to which the tRNAs corresponding amino acid is attached (by aminoacyl-tRNA synthetases). tRNAs cope with the degeneracy of the genetic code in two manners: having more than one tRNA (with a specific anti-codon) for a particular amino acid; and 'wobble' base-pairing, i.e. permitting non-standard base-pairing at the 3rd anti-codon position. RNAcentral also lists the same sequence under 1 other name. Lineage: Eukaryota; Metazoa; Chordata; Mammalia; Artiodactyla; Bovidae. The record is from Rfam by way of RNAcentral.
UCCCUGGUGGUCCAAAGUGUAAGACUCAGCACUCCUGAUGCAGAGGGCCUGGGUUCAAUCCCUGGUCAGGAAA